AUCGGGAUAACACCUGGAAACAGAUGCUAAUACCGGAUAACAACAGAUGAUGCCUAUCAACUGUUUAAAAGAUGGUUCUGCUAUCACUCUUGGAUGGACCUGCGGUGCAUUAGCUAGUUGGUAGGGUAACGGCCUACCAAGGCGAUGAUGCAUAGCCGAGUUGAGAGACUGAUCGGCCACAUUGGGACUGAGACACGGCCCAAACUCCUACGGGAGGCAGCAGGA
RNAcentral lists this ribosomal RNA (225 nucleotides) under uncultured Lactobacillus sp. RNAcentral describes it as "partial 16S ribosomal RNA". It matches the Rfam family "Bacterial small subunit ribosomal RNA", at positions 137 to 354 of the family's 1533-position model. Lineage: Bacteria; Bacillati; Bacillota; Bacilli; Lactobacillales; Lactobacillaceae. The record is from RNAcentral.